GCAUAUCAAUCAAUCGAGGUAAAAAAGAAAAGCUAGAAAGGGAUUCCCCUAGUAACGGCGAGUGAAGCGGGAUGAAGCUCAAAUUUAAAAUCUGGCCCGGUUUACUGGGUCCCGAAUUGUAGUUUAAAGAAGCGUUUUCGGUGGCAGCCUGGGUAUAAAAUCCUUUGGAAUAGGGUAUCAUAGAGGGUGAGAAUCCCGUCUUUGACUCAGUGCAUGCUACUAUGUGAUACGUUUUCAAAGAGUCGAGUUGUUUGGGAAUGCAGCUCAAAAUGGGUGGUAAAUCUCAUCUAAAGGCUAAAUAUUGGCGAGAGACCGAUAGCGAACAAGUACCGUGAGGGAAAGAUGAAAAGAACUUUGAAAAGAGAGUUAAACAGUGCGUGAAAUUGUUGAAAGGGAAACGUUUGACACCAGUCAUGCGGGCGGAAAAUCAGUCUUUUGUAGUGGGGAAGCGCGUGGGUUCAGACCGCAAGGCUGGCCUAUGUGUUCUCUCUGCUGCGAGUGAUGCACUUUUUCGUCUGCAGGCCAACAUCAGUUUCUUCUGCUGGACAAAACUCUAAGAGAAGGUAGCAGCUUAGGCUGUGUUAUAGCUCUGGAGCGAUACAGUGGAGGAGACUGAGGUUUUCGCAGCGUGUGCUCUCGGGCAAGGCGGAUUGGGUGCUAUGAGAUCGUUCGGCGUACAAUGCAUGCAUUUUGCGCCGUGUCUUUUUCAUACUCGCUCAACUCUGCUCUUCCACGCUUAGGAUGUUGGCAUAAUGGUUUUAACCGACCCGUCUUGAAACACGGACCAAGGAGUCUAACAUAUAUGCGAGUGUUUGGGUGGCAAACCCAUACGCGUAAUGAAAGUGAACGUAGGUGCCAUCCGCAAGGUGCAGCAUCGACCGAUCUUGAAUUUUUUAGGAUAGAUUUGAGUAAGAGCAUAUAUGCUGGGACCCGAAAGAUGGUUGAACUAUGCCUUGAAUAGGGUGAAGCCAGAGGAAACUGCUGGGUGGAGGCUCGUAGCGAUUUCUGACGUGCAAAUUCGAUCGUCAAAUUUGGGGUAUAGGGGGCGAAAGACUAAUCGGAACUCAUCUAGUAGCCUGGUUCUUGCGA
This 1089-nucleotide ribosomal RNA is filed under the name Mortierella indohii. RNAcentral describes it as "LSU rRNA". It matches the Rfam family "Eukaryotic large subunit ribosomal RNA", at positions 38 to 963 of the family's 3401-position model. The record is from RNAcentral. Lineage: Eukaryota; Fungi; Mortierellomycota; Mortierellomycetes; Mortierellales; Mortierellaceae.